AGUGAACGCUGGCGGUAGGCCUAACACAUGCAAGUCGAACGGCAGCACAGUAAGAGCUUGCUCUUACGGGUGGCGAGUGGCGGACGGGUGAGGAAUACAUCGGAAUCUACUUUUUCGUGGGGGAUAACGUAGGGAAACUUACGCUAAUACCGCAUACGACCUACGGGUGAAAGCAGGGGAUCUUCGGACCUUGCGCGAUUGAAUGAGCCGAUGUCGGAUUAGCUAGUUGGCGGGGUAAAGGCCCACCAAGGCGACGAUCCGUAGCUGGUCUGAGAGGAUGAUCAGCCACACUGGAACUGAGACACGGUCCAGACUCCUACGGGAGGCAGCAGUGGGGAAUAUUGGGCAAUGGGCGCAAGCCUGAUCCAGCCAUACCGCGUGGGUGAAGAAGGCCUUCGGGUUGUAAAGCCCUUUUGUUGGGAAAGAAAAGCAGCAGGUUAAUACCCCGCUGUUCUGACGGUACCCAGAGAAUAAGCACCGGCUAACUUCGUG
RNAcentral lists this ribosomal RNA (492 nucleotides) under uncultured bacterium. RNAcentral's name for it is "partial 16S ribosomal RNA". It matches the Rfam family "Bacterial small subunit ribosomal RNA", at positions 29 to 507 of the family's 1533-position model. The record is from RNAcentral.